UUUAACACGAUGAUAGGAAGCAGUAGCAGGCACGUUUUUUUAAAGAGAGUCGAUGGUAGGUGCGAAUCGAUAAAAACACUUGUGAAUCCGUCCUUGAGUUGCUCAGCUGAACGUUAGUAGGCUGCAGCCGGUUAAUAGCCGUUACAAAAUGAGUGGAUUAGGCAUUGGUCUAGUCAAUUAGGGUGGCAACGCGGGUAUGCUCUCGUCCCUUCA
This 213-nucleotide non-coding RNA is filed under the name Rummeliibacillus stabekisii. Its description in RNAcentral is "T-box sequence". It matches the Rfam family "T-box leader". Rfam says of the family: Uncharged tRNA acts as the effector for transcription antitermination of genes in the T-box leader family. T-boxes are found upstream of many aminoacyl-tRNA synthetase genes and some amino acid biosynthetic genes usually in Gram-positive bacteria. Lineage: Bacteria; Bacillati; Bacillota; Bacilli; Caryophanales; Caryophanaceae. The record is from RNAcentral.